This is a non-coding RNA of Podarcis lilfordi (Lilford's wall lizard), 88 nucleotides long. The record is from the annotation of a GenBank genome assembly. Lineage: Eukaryota; Metazoa; Chordata; Lepidosauria; Squamata; Lacertidae.
CUGGCUUCCCAGCGAAGCAGGAUGAGGGAUGGAAAGGAGCCAUUAUGGAGCCCCUUCCAUUCCUCCUCCCGCUUCACUGGGAAGCCAG